Oncorhynchus keta (chum salmon) is the source of this 318-nucleotide long non-coding RNA. RefSeq lists it as uncharacterized. NCBI's taxonomy places the organism in Eukaryota, Metazoa, Chordata, Actinopteri, Salmoniformes, Salmonidae. The transcript is spliced from 3 exons. The record is from RefSeq and is a predicted model, not a curated record.
GUAAGGCCAGUGUGUUGGAGCUGUCUGGACUGCAGAAUGUGUGUUAACGUGAUGAUAAUGUAUUGGUCAGGUGGGUCGUAAGGCCAGUGUGUUGGAGCUGUCUGGACUGCAGAAUGUGUGUUAACGUGAUGAUAAUGUAUUGGUCAGGUGGGUCAUAAGGCCAGUGUGUUGGAGCUGUCUGGACUGCAGAAUGUGUGUUAACGUGAUGAUAAUGUAUUGGUCAGGUGGGUCGUAAGGCCAGUGUGUUGGAGCUGUCUGGACUGCAGAAUGUGUGUUAACGUGAUGAUAAUGUAUUGGUCAGGUGGGUCGUAAGGCCAG